Molecule: ribosomal RNA, 425 nt
Filed under: uncultured bacterium
Lineage: Bacteria
Description: partial 16S ribosomal RNA
Rfam family: Bacterial small subunit ribosomal RNA
Source: RNAcentral
GUGGGGAAUCUUGCGCAAUGGGCGAAAGCCUGACGCAGCCAUGCCGCGUGAAUGAUGAAGGUCUUAGGAUUGUAAAAUUCUUUCACCGGGGACGAUAAUGACGGUACCCGGAGAAGAAGCUCCGGCUAACUUCGUGCCAGCAGCCGCGGUAAUACGAAGGGGGCUAGCGUUGCUCGGAAUUACUGGGCGUAAAGGGCGCGUAGGCGGACAGCUUAGUCAGAGGUGAAAUCCCGGGGCUCAACCUCGGAACUGCCUUUGAUACUGGGUGUCUUGAGUAUGAGAGAGGUGUGUGGAACUCCGAGUGUAGAGGUGAAAUUCGUAGAUAUUCGGAAGAACACCAGUGGCGAAGGCGACUCACUGGCCCAAUACUGACGCUGAGGCGCGAAAGCGUGGGGAGCAAACAGGAUUAGAUACCCUUGUAGUCC